GAAUUGACGGGGGCCCGCACAAGCGGAGGAACAUGUGGUUUAAUUCGAUGAUACGCGAGGAACCUUACCCGGGCUUGAAUUGCAGAUGAAGGAUCCAGAGAUGGUGACGCCCUUCGGGGCAUCUGUGAAGGUGCUGCAUGGUUGUCGUCAGCUCGUGCCGUGAGGUGUCGGCUCAAGUGCCAUAACGAGCGCAACCCCUCUCUUCAGUUGCCAUCAGGUGGAGCUGGGCACUCUGGAGACACUGCCACCGCAAGGUGUGAGGAAGGUGGGGAUGACGUCAAAUCAGCACGGCCCUUACGUCCGGGGCUACACACGUGUUACAAUGGGGGGUACAGAAAGCCGGCUGCCCGCAAGGUCAGUCCAAUCAAGAAAGCCUCCCUCAGUUCGGACUGGGGUCUGCAACCCGACCCCACGAAGCUGGAUUCGCUAGUAAUCGCGCAUCAGCCAUGGCGCGGUGAAUACGUUCCCGGGCCUUGUACACACCG
Molecule: ribosomal RNA, 485 nt
Filed under: uncultured Prevotella sp.
Lineage: Bacteria; Pseudomonadati; Bacteroidota; Bacteroidia; Bacteroidales; Prevotellaceae
Description: bacterial SSU rRNA
Rfam family: Bacterial small subunit ribosomal RNA
Source: RNAcentral